GCCCAUGGCUCUAGUCACUUAACUUCUCUGAGCCUCACUUUCCUUAAUUGUAAAGGAGUCCAGGAAUUUGGGGCUGCAGUGCACUAUGCCGAUCAGGUGUCUGCACUAAGUUCAGCAUCAAUAUGCUGACCUCCCGGGAGUCGGGCACCACCAGGUUGCCUAAGGCGGGGUGAACUGGUCCAGCUCAGAAACGGAGCAGGUCAAAACUCCCGUGCUGAUCAGUAGUGGGAUAGUGCCUGUGAAGAGCUACUAUACUCCAGCCUGGGAAACAUAGUGAGA
RNAcentral lists this signal recognition particle RNA (279 nucleotides) under Otolemur garnettii (small-eared galago). Its description in RNAcentral is "Metazoan signal recognition particle RNA (ENSOGAG00000033671.1)". It matches the Rfam family "Metazoan signal recognition particle RNA". Rfam says of the family: The signal recognition particle (SRP) is a universally conserved ribonucleoprotein. It is involved in the co-translational targeting of proteins to membranes. Lineage: Eukaryota; Metazoa; Chordata; Mammalia; Primates; Galagidae. The record is from RNAcentral.